Anthonomus grandis grandis is the source of this 972-nucleotide long non-coding RNA. RefSeq lists it as uncharacterized. The record is from RefSeq and is a predicted model, not a curated record. The transcript is spliced from 2 exons. NCBI's taxonomy places the organism in Eukaryota, Metazoa, Arthropoda, Insecta, Coleoptera, Curculionidae.
UUCGUGCGUACAUUAGUUACGUUUUGCGGACGUACCUACAUGUACAUAUAAAUACUUAAAAAAUGUUUUAGCUCCUAUGGAUUAUACAAGAAUAAAAAUAAAAACAAAUAAACUUUUGUUAAUACACAAAACUAUAUGCUAUGAAAGAUUUUUUUUUUAAAUAUAUGUAUUUUUAAAUACUUCUAAGUUUUAUUUGCAAUAUUUCUAAAUUCAGUAGGGUAAACAGAAAAAAAAACUAUUUGCAUGCUUUGCUUUGAUAGAAAAAGUCAACGAAUUCGGUAUAAAUGAGACAACUGUCAAAUCGAGAUUCCCUUUCCAAAGAACUAACAUAGCUUAUGAAUUUAGUUAAUUUACAUGUUUAUCUGGUCGAAAAGUAAUUAGGUAUGGGAUUUUCAAAACAUCUAAGAAUUAUAGAUAAUGGAGUAUUUAUCAUAUUAAUUUAUCAAAAUUAUCAACAACGGUCGCAAAAGCAACCCAUUGUUGUUAUUGCCCCUACUGACUCUCAAAUAAGUUAUUGGCAAUAUGAGGGAGUUGACACUUUUGACAGUGUUUAAGACAAGCGACAGAUGCGAGAACGAACCACCUUCUUUCACUUGGCUUGGCAGUAAUGGCAUUAUGGCGUGGGUUGUCCCUUUGUAAUAAAAGUUUACACGUGUGAAUUUAGGAUUUAUCAAAAUGCGGCUUAUAAUAAUAUUUUCUUAUUACAUUUGAAUUUAGUUUUACUGUUCCCUCAGUGAAAGGAAGGAUCUACUACGAUCUAGCCCAAUUCAUGGUGCAGCACUACAAGCGGCACGGGGUUGGAAGCACAAAGAAAAUUGAAGACUGUAUUUCACAGUAGUUGCGAAGAACAAAUGAUUUUUUUUGUAUUUUCUUAAACGUUUAUUUCUUGUUUUGUUUUUUAGACAUAUACAUGUUUUGUUUUAUAUUUUUAUGUAUUUUUUUUAUAAUCAAUAUAUUUUUAGUUUUGAUAAA